AGUGAACGCUGGCGGUAGGCCUAACACAUGCAAGUCGAACGGCAGCACAGUAAUAGCUUGCUCUUACGGGUGGCGAGUGGCGGACGGGUGAUGAAUACAUCGGAGUCUACUUUUUCGUGGGGGCUAACGUAGGGAAACUUACGCCAAUACCGCAUACGACCUACGGGUGAAAGCAGGGGAUCUUCCGCCCUUGCGCGAUUGAAUGAGCCGAUGUCGGAUUAGCUAGUUGGUGGGGUAAAGGCCCACCAAGGCGACGAUCCGUAGCUGGUCUGAGAGGAUGAUCAGCCACACUGGAACUGAGACACGGUCCAGACUCCUACGGGAGGCAGCAGUGGGGAAUAUUGGACAAUGGGCGAAAGCCUGAUCCAGCCAUGCCGCGUGGGUGAAGAAGGCCUUCGGGUUGUAAAGCCCUUUUGUUGGGAAAGAAAAGCAGCAGGUUAAUACCCCGCUGUUUUGACGGUACCCAAAGAAUAAGCACCGGCUAACUUCGUG
RNAcentral lists this ribosomal RNA (492 nucleotides) under uncultured bacterium. RNAcentral describes it as "partial 16S ribosomal RNA". It matches the Rfam family "Bacterial small subunit ribosomal RNA", at positions 29 to 507 of the family's 1533-position model. The record is from RNAcentral.